Molecule: transfer RNA, 68 nt
Filed under: Aphis coreopsidis
Lineage: Eukaryota; Metazoa; Arthropoda; Insecta; Hemiptera; Aphididae
Description: tRNA-Gln
Source: RNAcentral
UUAUACUUAAGUGUUUAUGCAUAUAAAUUUUUGAAAUUUAUGGAUUAGAUUAAUUCUAAAAGUAUAAU